Prunus avium (sweet cherry) is the source of this 1489-nucleotide long non-coding RNA. RefSeq lists it as uncharacterized. NCBI's taxonomy places the organism in Eukaryota, Viridiplantae, Streptophyta, Magnoliopsida, Rosales, Rosaceae. The record is from RefSeq and is a predicted model, not a curated record.
UUAAAUCUAAGAACAAGAAAGAUUUUUUCUUUUCUAAAAAGAAGAAAAAUAUAAGGGGAAGAGAAGCCAUCAGCCAAACCCACCCUCACCAGCCCACCCGCCAACCACCACACACACCCCAAUCUCCCCAACCCAGUAAACUCCACCACCUAGAUCUUGAUGAACUUGGCUGCUAUUCGAAGGUCUCGGAGCCGCCAGGGAAGUUGGAGACUGCUAUUUGGCACUGGACUUCUUCUAUUUCGUUGUCGUUCUGAUCCUGCUCUUCAAUUUGUUGGUGGGGCUGUGAUGGUGCAAAAGAGCUUUUUGAUGUAUGGGAUGGGAGACAUGUGAUUUGUACAAACAUGAGACUCGGGCGAGAAAAAGCCAUGGAUAUAUGACCCAUAUGGAUUGUUUUGCUAUUGUUGUUGUGAUAUUCUCUGAGGAACAAACAAUUCAUCAAAGAGGUUUUUUUUUUGGGUCAACCAAGAGAAAGAAAGAGUACUGAAAGAGAAACGAGAGAUUGGAAUCCAUAAAAAGAAAAACGAGAUGGGAGAGAGAUGGCGAUGAUGGAGUUGUAUCGAGUUAAGGAGAUGGCGUAGAGUGUGGUGGUUGACGUGUGGGCUGGUUGUGUGGCUGACGGCUUCUCUUCCCCUAUCUUUUGCCUUCUUUUUUUCUUUUCUCUUUCUUGUUUUUGGACUUAAAUGCCCUUCAACAAGUAACAGCAGUUAACCUAAUUUGAUAGAAAUUGGAGAGUGGACUUGGAUUGCUUAAAUUGAAAACCACAGGGGCAAAAAUGAUCAAGUUGAAACCACAAGGACCUUAGUGGUAAAAAUGAUAAACCACAGGAACCAAAAGUGACGUUUUGCCUUAUAUAACUGAUGGUCAGAGCGAUCGAGGAAGAGCAAGAGCGUUGCACGCAUAAAGGCAAAGCUGGAAAACUGCAAAUUUGGGUCUCGAGUUCGAAACUAAGCCCAUGAUUCGUCGUUUCAAAGAGAACGACGUCACGAGUAAAACUCAUCGCUUUUCCAUGACGUAUGGUACAUUUGCGGGAGGUUUUACAAGUUUUGCAAUAGAACAAGUUGUAUGUUAACUUGAAAAAGUGCACUUUCCUCACCAAUAAGUUGCUUUUUCUAGGUUAUGUUGUUAGUGCAUAUGGCAUUUAUGUGGAUGAAGACAAGGUACGAGCUAUCCAUGACUGGCCUACCUUGAAAACAGUUAACGACGUGUGAAGUUUUCAUGGCCUUGUAAUGUUUUAUAGGAGAUUUGUCAGAAAUUUCAGCAUUAUUACUGCACCUAUCACUAAAUGUCUGAAGCAUGGAAACUUUAAUUGGGGAGAGGAGCAAGAGCAGAGCAGAGCUUUACCCAAAUUAAAGAAAAGCUGAGCACCGCCCCAUUCUAGCCCUUCCGAACUUUGAGAAGUUAUUCAAGGUUGAAUGUGAUGUGAGUGUAGGUGUGGGAGCUGUUUUCUACUAAGAGAAUAUAUUGGUUGCAUUUUUUUCCUUAAGAAAAA